Molecule: small nuclear RNA, 164 nt
Filed under: Echinops telfairi (small Madagascar hedgehog)
Lineage: Eukaryota; Metazoa; Chordata; Mammalia; Afrosoricida; Tenrecidae
Description: U1 spliceosomal RNA (ENSETEG00000020885.1)
Rfam family: U1 spliceosomal RNA
About the family: U1 is a small nuclear RNA (snRNA) component of the spliceosome (involved in pre-mRNA splicing). Its 5' end forms complementary base pairs with the 5' splice junction, thus defining the 5' donor site of an intron.
Source: RNAcentral
AUACUUACCUGGCAGGAGAGCUACCAUGAUCACGAAGGUGGUUUUCCCAGGGCGAGGCUCACCCAUUGCACUCCGGAUGUGCUGAUCCCUGCGAUUUCCCCAAAUGUGGGAAACUCGACUGCAUGGUUUGUGGUAGUCGGGGACUGCAUUCAUAUUCUCCCCUG